CCUACGGGAGGCAGCAGUGAGGAAUAUUGCACAAUGGACGAGAGUCUGAACCAGCCAAGUAGCGUGAAGGAUGACUGCCCUAUGGGUUGUAAACUUCUUUUAUAUGGGAAUAAAAUGUUCCACGUGUGGGAUAUUGUAUGUACCAUAUGAACAAGGAUCGGCUAACUCAGUGCCAGCAGCCGAGGUAAUACGGAGGAUCCGAGCGUUAUCCGGAUUUAUUGGGUGUAAAGGGAGCGUAGGUGGAUUGUUAAGUCAGUUGUGAAAGUUUCGGGCUUAACCGGAGAAUUGCAGUUGAAACUGGGAGUCUUGAGUACAGUAGGGGUGGGCGGAAUUCGUGGUGUAGCGGUGAAAUGCUUAGAUAUCACGAAGAACUCCGAUUGCGAAGGCAGUUCACUGGACUGCAACUGACGCUGAGGCUCGAAAGUGUGGGUAUCAAACAGGAUUAGAUACCCGGGUAGUC
Molecule: ribosomal RNA, 460 nt
Filed under: uncultured bacterium
Lineage: Bacteria
Description: partial 16S ribosomal RNA
Rfam family: Bacterial small subunit ribosomal RNA
Source: RNAcentral